AUCUAUGGGCUAUAUCACCCUUAACACACCCAAUUUAACCUAAACCUAAGCUGGGCAGGCUCUGGUUAGUACCUGAAGGAGAGACUUCUUGGGAAUACUAGGUGUUGUAGGUU
This 113-nucleotide ribosomal RNA is filed under the name Dasypus novemcinctus (nine-banded armadillo). The record is from RNAcentral. Lineage: Eukaryota; Metazoa; Chordata; Mammalia; Cingulata; Dasypodidae.